AGCAGCCGCGGUAAUUCCAGCUCCAAUAGCGUAUAUUAAAGUUGUUGCAGUUAAAAGCUCGUAGUUGAAUUUCGGGGUCUGUCCAUUGGUCGGGCUUUACGGUCCGUACUGGUGAGAUGGGUUCCUACCUUCUGAAUAACCAGCAUGCCAUUCAGUUGGUGCGUUGGGGAAGCAGAGCUAUUACCUUGAAAAAUUGAGUGCUUAAAGCAGGCUAGUGCUUGAAUAGAUUAGCAUGGAAUAAUAAAUAGGAUGGCAUGGUUCUAUUUUGUGGUUUCUAGGAUCACCGUAAUGAUUAAUAGGGAUAGUUGGGGCAUUA
Molecule: ribosomal RNA, 316 nt
Filed under: uncultured Glomeromycotina
Lineage: Eukaryota; Fungi; Glomeromycota
Description: SSU rRNA
Rfam family: Eukaryotic small subunit ribosomal RNA
Source: RNAcentral